GUAGGGAAUAUUGGGCAAUGGAGGCAACUCUGACCCAGCCAUGCCGCGUGCAGGAUGACGGCCCUCUGGGUUGUAAACUGCUUUUAUACGGGAAGAAAAAAUACUACGUGUAGUAUACUGACGGUACCGUAAGAAUAAGGAUCGGCUAACUCCGUGCCAGCAGCCGCGGUAAUACGGAGGAUCCAAGCGUUGUCCGGAUUUAUUGGGUUUAAAGGGUGCGUAGGCGGAUCUUUAAGUCAGUGGUGAAAGCCUGCAGCUUAACUGUAGAAUUGCCAUUGAAACUGAUGGUCUUGAAUUAAGUGGGCGUUGGCGGAAUAUGACAUGUAGCGGUGAAAUGCAUAGAUAUGUCAUGGAACACCUAAAGCGAAGGCAGCUAACGAUACUUAUAUUGACGCUCAUGGACGAAAGCGUGGGUAGCGAACAGGAUUAGAUACCCCGGUAGUCC
Molecule: ribosomal RNA, 445 nt
Filed under: uncultured bacterium
Lineage: Bacteria
Description: partial 16S ribosomal RNA
Rfam family: Bacterial small subunit ribosomal RNA
Source: RNAcentral